AGAGCGAACGCUGGCGGCAGGCCUAACACAUGCAAGUCGAGCGCCCGUAGCAAUACGGGAGCGGCAGACGGGAUAGUAACACGUGGGAACGCGCCCUUCGGUUCGGAAUAACUCAGGGAAACUUGAGCUAAUACCGGAUACGCCCUUACGGGGAAAGAUUUAUUGCCGAAGGAACGGCCCGCGUCCGAUUAGCUAGUUGGUGAGGUAAUGGCUCACCAAGGCGACGAUCGGUAGCUGGUCUGAGAGGAUGACCAGCAUCACUGGGACUGAGACACGGCCCAGACUCCUACGGGAGGCAGCAGUGGGGAAUAUUGGACAAUGGGCGCAAGCCUGAUCCAGCCAUGCCGCGUGGAUGAUGAAGGCCUUAGGGUUGUAAAGUCCGUUUUAACGGGAGAUAAUGACGGUACCCGUAGAAUAAGCCCCGGCUAACUUCGUGCCAGCAGCCGC
This 447-nucleotide ribosomal RNA is filed under the name uncultured bacterium. RNAcentral describes it as "SSU rRNA". It matches the Rfam family "Bacterial small subunit ribosomal RNA", at positions 26 to 518 of the family's 1533-position model. The record is from RNAcentral.